CAGGAAGUUUAAAACUCAGAAUAAACCCAGCCCAAAUAAGCUGAACUCAAUCCCAUCAAAAGUCUCCAGAACACAGGGAAGCCCAGGCUCCCCAUCCAUCCUCACUGACUGCUGAACUUUAAGCCAAUCAAAAGCCUCCAGAGGACAGGAAAGCUCAAACCCCCAACAACCCUCCCUCAGAGAUUACACCAAGAGAUCCUCUGUUAAAGCUCCAAGAGGGGAGACUGAUAGAAGUCCCUAAAAAACAAAAAAUGAGAGGAACAAGAGCACACACAAAUACAGGGAGGAAAGAAGGGGUGAAUUUGAACAAACAACAGAAACAGAAGAAAGAAACUACAAUAGACAGCUACUACUCACCAAAUGGAACAGAGGGGGAGAGAUCAGCAAACGAUAAACCAGAAAUCCCAGCGAAUUGGAUACAGGCUGUGGAAGAACUCAAAACACAACUAAGAGAGGCUGAAGACAAUUGGGAAAAGAACUUAAAAAUUAAGAUAAGUCAUCUGGAAACAGAGGCACUUGAAUUAAAACAAGAAAAUAGUGUCCUGAAAGCCAAAAUCAUCCAGCUGGAAAAUGAGGCAAAGGAGAUGAAAGAUGAGGCAAAGGAGAUGAAAGAUGAGGCAAAGGAGAUGAAAGACAAUCUUCAAAGAAACUCAGACCAGAAGGAAAAAGACGACCAAAAAGCCAAAGAUGAAAUCCAAUCUUUAAGAACCCGAGUAAAACAACUAGAAUCAAGUGACCUCACAAGGCAGCAGGACACUAUAAAACAAAACAAAAAGAAUGAAAAAAUUGAGGAAAAUGUGAAGCAUCUCAUUCACAAAACAGACGAUUUAGAAAAUCGUUCAAGAAGAGACAAUUUAAGAAUAAUUGGACUACCAGAAGACCACGACAAAAGAAAAAGCCUGGACAUAAUACUAGAGGAAAUUAUCCAGGAAAACUGUCCCGAAAUCCUAGAACAAGAGGGGAAAGUGGAGAUUGAAAGAAUCCACAGAUCACCCCCUGUUUUUAAUCCCCAACUGACAACACCAAGAAAUGUUAUAGCCAAAUUCAAAAACAAUCAGAUAAAAGAACAGGUAUUACAAGCUGUCAAAAGGAAACC
RNAcentral lists this long non-coding RNA (1096 nucleotides) under Monodelphis domestica (gray short-tailed opossum). RNAcentral describes it as "lncRNA (ENSMODG00000039195.1)". The record is from RNAcentral. Lineage: Eukaryota; Metazoa; Chordata; Mammalia; Didelphimorphia; Didelphidae.